This 601-nucleotide ribosomal RNA is filed under the name Nostoc sp. 'Stereocaulon ramulosum cyanobiont'. RNAcentral's name for it is "bacterial SSU rRNA". It matches the Rfam family "Bacterial small subunit ribosomal RNA", at positions 125 to 760 of the family's 1533-position model. Lineage: Bacteria; Bacillati; Cyanobacteriota; Cyanophyceae; Nostocales; Nostocaceae. The record is from RNAcentral.
UCUGGCUCUAGGUCUGGGACAACCACUGGAAACGGUGGCUAAUACCGGGUGUGCCGAAAGGUGAAAGGUUAACUGCCUGGAGAUGAGCUCGCGUCUGAUUAGCUAGUUGGUAGGGUAAAAGCUUACCAAGGCGACGAUCAGUAGCUGGUCUGAGAGGACGAUCAGCCACACUGGGACUGAGACACGGCCCAGACUCCUACGGGAGGCAGCAGUGGGGAAUUUUCCGCAAUGGGCGAAAGCCUGACGGAGCAAUACCGCGUGAGGGAGGAAGGCUCUUGGGUUGUAAACCUCUUUUCUCAGGGAAGAAUAAUGACGGUACUUGAGGAAUAAGCAUCGGCUAACUCCGUGCCAGCAGCCGCGGUAAUACGGAGGAUGCAAGCGUUAUCCGGAAUGAUUGGGCGUAAAGCGUUCGCAGGUGGCAUUGAAAGUCUGCUGUUAAAGAGUUUGGCUUAACCAAAUAUAGGCAGUGGAAACUCCAAAGCUAGAGUGCGGUAGGGGCAGAGGGAAUUCCUGGUGUAGCGGUGAAAUGCGUAGAGUUCAGGAAGAACACCGGUGGCGAAAGCGCUCUGCUAGGCCGCAACUGACACUGAGGGACGAAAGC